This 216-nucleotide non-coding RNA is filed under the name Nicotiana sylvestris (wood tobacco). RNAcentral's name for it is "Bacterial large subunit ribosomal RNA". It matches the Rfam family "Bacterial large subunit ribosomal RNA", at positions 1796 to 2008 of the family's 2925-position model. Lineage: Eukaryota; Viridiplantae; Streptophyta; Magnoliopsida; Solanales; Solanaceae. The record is from Rfam by way of RNAcentral.
GUGAUUGUUUACCAAAAACAAAGGUCUCCACAAAGUUGUAAGACCAUGUACGGGGGCUGAUGCAUGCGCAAUACCGGAAGGUCAAGGAAGUUGGCGACCUGAUAACAGGGAAGCCAGUGACCGAAGCCCGGGUGAACAGCGGACGUAACUAUGACGGUCCUAAAGUAGCGAAAUUUCUUAUCGAGUAAGUUCAACCUGCACAAAAGGAGUAACGAU